GUGACAUGAAAUACACAGACAGAAAAUACAAAAUAUUUUCAGUACAUACUAUUUGACUUUUUAGUUUGUUAAACUUUGAAGAAAUGUUUGUGAACACUGAACAAUCCCAAUUUAUCAAUUAAUUACUUGUAUGCAUAUAAACAUGUGGCACUCCUACAACAUCUAUUUUUGUGCCAAUAAAGUGGCCAUAUACUUUUAAUACCAGUCUUUGCUCUUCCGCUCUCUGCAACCUAAUUUUAUUUUGAUUCCUUUCUUCUCUUGCAGUUCAGUUGUUUAACAGAUUUCUGGGAUGUUAGCUUGCCUGCUGUCACUGCCAGCUUCUGACAAUAGCUGAUAAGUGGACUUCCCUCCAGCCACUCCUUUCUUCAUGCUGAGUGGUGCAAGUAAACAAAACCAACCCCAGAAUCAGAGGCUGGUGCUGCUGUGGCGGAGGGGGAGCAUACACUGCUAGUGGAGAGCUUCCACACAAAGUCCUGUCUGUACACACUGCUGCUCAGGGUGGUCUGCUAGGGCCACAUCAAAUGCAGAGGAAAGCUGGAUUACUGCCACACACGGGGCUCUGAAGUUGGAAUAAUUCCAUUGAGUUCAAUCCCAUUUUGGCCAUGCUGCUCUGCAGAAAGAGGUACAAGGUACAGGGUAAGCCCAAGAGGAGAGAAGAGAUGCCCCCCAUCUAUGACUUCUUCUCUACGUGAAGUGAAGCUUUUUCAAAGCAUCUGUUGGAGCUGACACAAGGGUUUAUGGACAGGAUGAAGAGGACAGGGGAGUCAAAAGCGCUUCAGUUCACCCACCAGCUCUCUGGCAGUACAGAUCCCCAGACAUGUGCCAUGGUUGUUUUUGCCCAGUCUGCUUGUUCAUAUUAUGGUUGUGUCUUCCCAUAAAUGAUGCCUCUCUUACAAAUUAGUAUAAUCUUAUGUGUCACAGCUCCUGGGAGGUCUAGAGACCAUCCAGUAGCCUUUAUGUAUCUCUGGUUUCUAGGACUUUAAUUUUGAGUUGAUUGUUGCAGUAAGUUAAUGCUUGUCCUGGAUUGCCAAGCAAAUUCUAUUCUAUUUGCCAUCUGUAUGGCAGUUGUCUUCUGUUAAGUGGGAAGUUUUCCUUAUCUCUUCCAUAACCAAUCCUCCCUCGAGGGAGACAUCUGCUGAUAACAGGCUAUGGAAUGUUACUGCACAACUGAUAAGAACUACAGCAUCCCAUUGGGAGAUGCUCUGCCCAGAGGGAGGAGCCAAGCAUUCCUACCUGGAUAUAAUCUUGACAUUCUGGAGCACCAGCAUGGCUUCUUCUCCACUGGAUUUCCCAGAGGAACAGCUGCCUCUUCCGCUGGAUCUUUAGAGGAAGACUACACCUUUCUACAGGAUCUCUGCUCCAACAGAACCACACCUAACACUCCAGGAGGACUGCAGCCACAAUUUCAAUUGGACUGCUACCAGCACCCUGACCAACAGGGUGUCAGGUUGUGUUCUGACUCUGUCAAUGUUGUUUUGGUUUACUACUUUGUUUAUUUUAUCUUUUUAUUUUCUUCCCUA
This is a long non-coding RNA of Passer domesticus (house sparrow), 1520 nucleotides long. RefSeq lists it as uncharacterized. Lineage: Eukaryota; Metazoa; Chordata; Aves; Passeriformes; Passeridae. The transcript is spliced from 3 exons. The record is from RefSeq and is a predicted model, not a curated record.